UGUUCUUGUAGUUGAAUGACAACGAUGGUUUUUUCUUAUCA
Molecule: transfer RNA, 41 nt
Filed under: Muntiacus reevesi (Reeves' muntjac)
Lineage: Eukaryota; Metazoa; Chordata; Mammalia; Artiodactyla; Cervidae
Description: partial tRNA-Glu
Source: RNAcentral